RNAcentral lists this unclassified non-coding RNA (278 nucleotides) under air metagenome. RNAcentral describes it as "partial contains small subunit ribosomal RNA, internal transcribed spacer 1, and 5.8S ribosomal RNA". The stretch from base 1 to 46 matches the Rfam family "Eukaryotic small subunit ribosomal RNA", at positions 1786 to 1831 of the family's 1831-position model. The record is from RNAcentral.
AAGUCGUAACAAGGUUUCCGUAGGUGAACCUGCGGAAGGAUCAUUAAUGAAAUUUAUGACUGGGGUUGUCGCUGGCCUUUAAAAACGGCAUGUGCACGCCCCUUUCACUAAUCCACACACACCUGUGCACCUUCGCGGGGGCUCUCGGGGAACCGACGCAAGUCGUAAGUACCGGAGCUCGCGUCCCUUUACACACCCCUUUGUAUGUCUUAAGAAUGUCUACUCGAUGUAAUAAAACGCAUCUAAUACAACUUUCAACAACGGAUCUCUUGGCUCUC